This 1573-nucleotide long non-coding RNA is filed under the name Marmota monax (woodchuck). Lineage: Eukaryota; Metazoa; Chordata; Mammalia; Rodentia; Sciuridae. The record is from RNAcentral.
GAAAUUUGCCAAGAUUUAUUUAUAUGGAACUUAUCAGAGUCUUCCAUACACUAAUGAGCAACAUAAUUCUUCCUGAGUGGGAAAAGAGCAUGCUUACUUGAGUAAUACAUCACAAGAUCAUCUAUGAUGAGAAAUCAAGAUUCAAGGAAUUUUGCUAAACAAGGAAUUCUGUCUGGCACUGGAGAGCUACAGGAAAGGGGGUCUGACAUCAUGUGAGAUGUUCCCUAAAACAUUAUGGACAACACUUAAGAUCCUGUGGAAUUUUCUAUCACCUUUUCCCAGAAAUGGAUAUAGAUAUAUAAUCUCUGACAGCUACUUUUCCAUCUGCUUUUCAAGUCAUUAAUGUAUAAGAUGCUAUCUUUGCUGGGACAUUUUCUCCUUUGCACAAAUGUUCUCAGUCCAUCGGAGCACUCUAAUCAAGAGGUCUUCACUAAGAUAUUUUCAACUCUCCAGGGACAGCAUAAAGGUCUCACGUCAACAAAACACCCUCUUUAGUCCCAGCAACCCACCCUCCUUUUAAAAUAUGUUUUAGUUACUGAUGGACAUACUACCUUUAUUUAUUUAUUUUUAUGUGGUGCUGAGAAUCGAAUCCAGUGCCUCACACGUGCUAGACAAGUGCUCCACCACUGAUCCACAAGAUCAGCUCCCCCGCCCCGCCCCCUCCCCUUUUCCUCUUUCACACACUGUCCUCAUUUUCAUCGGGAAAACAAGGAGAUGUGUUGAUUUGCUCCCCACAGGCCAUUGUGGCAUGGGCCUAUCUGCACACUUGUGCCUUGUCUUAGUAUGUUUGUGCUGCUACAACAAAAUCCCUAAACUGUGCAGUAUAUAAAGAAAGUCAUAAAGUCCAAGAUGAAGGCACCAGUCAGUAUUUGGUCUGAUGAGAGCGCUCUUGCUGUGUCUUUGCAUGGCAGAGGCAGAAAGGCCAGCCAGCCAGUGCUGUAGGAAACCUUUUUUAUAAAGGCCUUAAUGCCCUUCCUGAAGGAGAAGGUCUUGUGACCUGUUCCCCUUUUUAGGUCCCCACCUCUCAAUAGGAUCACAUUGGCAACACCUGGAGUUUGGAAAGGACACAUUCAAACCAUAGCACCUCCCUACUUCCACCUUCCUUCAGUUAUUCUAACUUUCUUCUUCCUGUCAUGCAGUCUUAACCAAAGACAGAUGCUUUUUUGUAAAAUCUCCUCCCCUCCUCUCUUUUCUGAUACUUUUCCUGCUCUUGCAUAGGCACCUUCAGCCUCUCCUGGGAGGCAUUUUCCCCAGGGCCUGAAGACCAGCUCUUCUAUCUAGGCCAUAGCAUAUUCCCACCCUCCCAGUCCUUUAUUUGUGACAAGCCCAGAGCUGAGCUGAUGGCCCGUCCAGCUGGUCAUUAGUGGUCACAGCCCAGAUAAAGGAGUAAAUACACUCAUAAUUUGCAAAUUAUGGUAUAAGUGAGGCAAUUCAGGCUUCCACAGUUAUGAGCCCUGCAGUUAUGACAAUCAGGACCUACCCCAAACCAUGGGGAAUUGCUGACUUCAGAUUACCUAAAGGAAAAACCUUUGGAGGGGAGGAUUAGAGGCAUUAUGAAGCACCUGUCAGGUGU